Molecule: ribosomal RNA, 467 nt
Filed under: uncultured bacterium
Lineage: Bacteria
Description: partial 16S ribosomal RNA
Rfam family: Bacterial small subunit ribosomal RNA
Source: RNAcentral
GACGAACGCUGGCGGCGUGCUUAACACAUGCAAGUCGAACGGAAAGGCCCUGCUUUUGUGGGGUGCUCGAGUGGCGAACGGGUGAGUAACACGUGAGUAACCUGCCCUUGACUUUGGGAUAACUUCAGGAAACUGGGGCUAAUACCGGAUAGGAGCUCCUGCUGCAUGGUGGGGGUUGGAAAGUUUCGGCGGUUGGGGAUGGACUCGCGGCUUAUCAGCUUGUUGGUGGGGUAGUGGCUUACCAAGGCUUUGACGGGUAGCCGGCCUGAGGGGGUGACCGGCAAAAUGGGACCGGGGAAAGGGCCAGGACCCCACGGGAGGCAGCAGUGGGGAAUAUUGCACAAUGGGCGGAAGCCUGAUGCAGCAACGCCGCGUGCGGGAUGACGGCCUUCGGGUUGUAAACCGCUUUCGCCUGCGACGAAGCGUGAGUGACGGUAAUGGGUAAAGAAGCACCGGCUAACUACGUG